UACAGAGGGUGCGAGCGUUGUCCGGAAUCACUGGGCGUAAAGGGCGCGUAGGUGGCGACCCAAGUCCGUGGUGAAAGCUCGCCGCUUAACGGCGAGUCGGCCACGGAGACUGGGUGGCUCGAGCACUGUAGGGGCAGAUGGAAUUCCGGGUGUAGCGGUGGAAUGCGUAGAGAUCCGGAAGAACACCAGUGGCGAAGGCGGUCUGCUGGGCAGUUGCUGACACUGAGGCGCGACAGCGUGGGGAGCAAACAGG
This 253-nucleotide ribosomal RNA is filed under the name uncultured bacterium. Its description in RNAcentral is "partial 16S ribosomal RNA". It matches the Rfam family "Bacterial small subunit ribosomal RNA", at positions 524 to 776 of the family's 1533-position model. The record is from RNAcentral.